AGUCGAACGAUGAUAUCACUGCUUGCAGUGAUUGAUUAGUGGCGAACGGGUGAGUAACACGUGAGGAACUUGCCCAUGAGCGGGGGACAACAUUCGGAAACGGAUGCUAAUACCCCAUAGGUGGAUUGGUCGCAUGACGAAUUCAUUAAAGGUGGCUUUGCUACCACUCAUGGAUAGCCUCGCGGCGUAUUAGCUAGUUGGUAAGGUAAUGGCUUACCAAGGCAGUGAUACGUAGCCGACUUGAGAGGGUGAUCGGCCACACUGGGACUGAGACACGGCCCAGACUCCUACGGGAGGCAGCAGUAGGGAAUCUUCCACAAUGGGUGCAAACCUGAUGGAGCAAUGCCGCGUGAGUGAAGAAGGUCUUCGGAUCGUAAAGCUCUGUUGUUAGAGAAGAACACGUGCUAGGUAACUACUAGCGCCUUGACGGUAUCUAACCAGAAAGUCACGGCUAACUACGUGCCAGCAGCCGCGGUAAUACGUAGGUGACAAGCGUUGUCCGGAUUUAUUGGGCGUAAAGGGAGCGCAGGCGGUCUGUUUAGUCUAAUGUGAAAACCCACGGCUUAACCGUGGAACGGCAUUGGAAACUGACAGACUUGAAUGUAGAAGAGGAAAAUGGAAUUCCAAGUGUAGCGGUGGAAUGCGUAGAUAUUUGGAGGAACACCAGUGGCGAAGGCGAUUUUCUGGUCUAACAUUGACGCUGAGGCUCGAAAGCGUGGGGAGCGAACAGGA
Molecule: ribosomal RNA, 732 nt
Filed under: uncultured Carnobacteriaceae bacterium
Lineage: Bacteria; Bacillati; Bacillota; Bacilli; Lactobacillales; Carnobacteriaceae
Description: bacterial SSU rRNA
Rfam family: Bacterial small subunit ribosomal RNA
Source: RNAcentral